RNAcentral lists this ribosomal RNA (368 nucleotides) under uncultured organism. Its description in RNAcentral is "bacterial SSU rRNA". It matches the Rfam family "Bacterial small subunit ribosomal RNA", at positions 526 to 896 of the family's 1533-position model. The record is from RNAcentral.
CGGAGGAUCCAAGCGUUGUCCGGAUUUAUUGGGUUUAAAGGGUGCGUAGGCGGAUCUUUAAGUCAGUGGUGAAAUCCUGCAGCUUAACUGUAGAACAGCCAUUGAAACUGAGGAUCUUGAAUUUGGUUAAAGUAGGCGGAAUGUAUCAUGUAGCGGUGAAAUGCUUAGAUAUGAUACAGAACACCGAUAGCGAAGGCAGCUUGCUGAACCAAUAUUGACGCUGAGGCACGAAAGCGUGGGGAGCGAACAGGAUUAGAUACCCUGGUAGUCCACGCCCUAAACGUUGAUUACUCGUUGUUGGCGAUAUACUGUCAGCGACCAAGCUAAAGCGUUAAGUAAUCCACCUGGGAAGUACGACCGCAAGGUUG